GACGAACGCUGGCGGCGUGCUUAACACAUGCAAGUCGAACGGUAAGGCUCCAGCUUGCUGGGGUACACGAGUGGCGAGCGGGUGAGUAACACGUGGGUGACCUGCCCUGCACUUCGGGAUAAGCCUGGGAAACUGGGUCUAAUACCGGAUAGGACCGCACCGUGAGGGUGUGGUGGAAAGUUUUUUCGGUGUGGGAUGGGCCCGCGGCCUAUCAGCUUGUUGGUGGGGUAAUGGCCUACCAAGGCGGCGACGGGUAGCCGGCCUGAGAGGGUGGACGGCCACAUUGGGACUGAGACACGGCCCAGACUCCUACGGGAGGCAGCAGUGGGGAAUAUUGCACAAUGGGCGGAAGCCUGAUGCAGCGACGCCGCGUGGGGGAUGACGGCCUUCGGGUUGUAAACUCCUUUCACCAUCGACGAAGGGUUUCUGACGGUAGAUGGAGAAGAAGCACCGGCUAACUACGUGCCAGCAGCCGCGGUAAUACGUAGGGUGCGAGCGUUGUCCGGAAUUACUGGGCGUAAAGAGCUCGUAGGUGGUUUGUCGCGUCGUCUGUGAAAUUCCGGGGCUUAACUCCGGGCGUGCAGGCGAUACGGGCAUAACUUGAGUACUGUAGGGGAGACUGGAAUUCCUGGUGUAGCGGUGAAAUGCGCAGAUAUCAGGAGGAACACCGGUGGCGAAGGCGGGUCUCUGGGCAGUAACUGACGCUGAGGAGCGAAAGCAUGGGGAGCGAACAGGAUUAGAUACCCCGGUAGUCCAUGCCGUAAACGGUGGGCGCUAGGUGUGGGUUUCCUUCCACAGGAUCCGUGCCGUAGCUAACGCAUUAAGCGCCCCGCCUGGGGAGUACGGCCGCAAGGCUAAAACUCAAAGGAAUUGACGGGGGCCCGCACAAGCGGCGGAGCAUGUGGAUUAAUUCGAUGCAACGCGAAGAACCUUACCUGGGCUUGACAUAUACAGGAUCGCGCCAGAGAUGGUGUUUCCCUUGUGGCUUGUAUACAGGUGGUGCAUGGUUGUCGUCUGCUCGUGUCGUGAGAUGUUGGGUUAAGUCCCGCAACGAGCGCAACCCUUGUCUUAUGUUGCCAGCACGUUGUGGUGGGGACUCGUAAGAAACUGCCGGGGUUAACUCGGAGGAAGGUGGGGAUGACGUCAAAUCAUCAUGCCCCUUAUGUCCAGGGCUUCACACAUGCUACAAUGGUCGGUACAGUGGGUUGCCAGUCCGUGAGGGCGAGCUAAUCCCGCAAAGCCGGUCUCAGUUCGGAUCGGGGUCUGCAACUCGACCCCGUGAAGUCGGAGUCGCUAGUAAUCGCAGAUCAGCAACGCUGCGGUGAAUACGUUCCCGGGCCU
This 1341-nucleotide ribosomal RNA is filed under the name uncultured bacterium. Its description in RNAcentral is "partial 16S ribosomal RNA". It matches the Rfam family "Bacterial small subunit ribosomal RNA", at positions 28 to 1381 of the family's 1533-position model. The record is from RNAcentral.